This 253-nucleotide ribosomal RNA is filed under the name uncultured bacterium. Its description in RNAcentral is "partial 16S ribosomal RNA". It matches the Rfam family "Bacterial small subunit ribosomal RNA", at positions 524 to 776 of the family's 1533-position model. The record is from RNAcentral.
UACGUAGGCAGCAAGCGUUGUUCGGAGUUACUGGGCGUAAAGGGUGUGUAGGCGGUUCUUUAAGUUUGGUGUGAAAUCUCCCGGCUUAACCGGGAGGGUGCGCCGAAUACUGAGGGACUAGAGUACGGGAGAGGAAAGCGGAGUUCCUGGUGUAGCGGUGAAAUGCGUAGAUAUCAGGAGGAACACCUGCGGUGUAGACAGCUUUCUGGACCAUCACUGACGCUGAGACACGAAAGCGUGGGUAGCAAACAGG